Podarcis lilfordi (Lilford's wall lizard) is the source of this 1716-nucleotide non-coding RNA. NCBI's taxonomy places the organism in Eukaryota, Metazoa, Chordata, Lepidosauria, Squamata, Lacertidae. The record is from the annotation of a GenBank genome assembly.
GGCCUGUUGAGGGAGGGAAGGUGGUCAGGGGUCAGUCUACCAUCUGGAUCCAGUUCCUCACCUGAUAUACAUGUAACUGCUCAUAACCUGAAGGUUUGAUUUGCAAUGUUACCGGUAUGCUGAUGAUUCACAGCUCUGCCUUCCCCCCACCCCAUCUUCUGGUAUCAGGGAGGUUGUUAAAACCCCAAACUGGCAGUUCUGGGAUGGAAGAGGUUAAAUCUGGGCAAGAUGGAGGUACGUGUGUUGAGAGAUCACGGCUCUUGAAGGAGGAUUACAACUGAUGCUUACCUGAAAAGACCCAGGUCCUUUUGAAAAGCAAGCUCAUGGUUUAGAGUGCCCAUGGACUUGGCAAGGAGUGGAUGAGGGAGCCCAGGUCUCAUCAGUAUCUAGAAAUGGUUUUUUUCCAGCUUUUGCCAUAUGCCAACUAUGGCUGUUUCAGAAGAGGGCACACCUCCAAAUUAUGCUGUGCCUUUUUUGUCCCACUUGCUGGUUCUAGGAUGGAAACAUGGGUGGCUCAAUGGUGGUCUAAACCACCGAUCCUCUUGGGCUUGCCGAUUGGAAGGUCGGCAGUUCGAAUCCCCGCAAUGGGGUGAGCUCCCGUUGAUCUGUCGCAGCUCCUGCCAACCUAGCAGUUCAAAAGCACACCAGUUCUAGUAGUUAAAUAGGUACUGCUGUGGCAGGAAUGUAAACAAUGUUUUCAUGAGCUCUGGUUUCCAUCAUGGUGUUCUGUUGUGCCAGAAGCAGUUUAGCCAUGAUAGCCACAUGACCCGGAAAGCUGUCUGUGGACAAAUGCCGGCUCCCUUGACCUGAAAGUGAGAUGAACGCCACAGCCCCAUAGUCACCUUUGACUGGAUUGAACUGUCCAGGGGUCCUUUACCUUCUUCUCCUUCUAACCUUCUAGGAUGGGAUGUCGGUAUGUUAUUGGAGUUCUGAGUUUCAUUUUAACUUUGUGAAUCUGUUUUCUUUUUAAUAAUAUUGAUUGUUUGUUCAUACUUGUAGUUUUUGUUGAUUAUAAGCUCCUUUUCAUGGACUUUCCUUAAAAGGGUUUUUUAAUGACUAACAUGCAAUAGUUAGUUAAAAAUCUCGAAUUGUAAUGGUUGUGGAAGGGAAUGGGAGGGCCAGUAAAUGGAAUAGUUGCCUGUUUAGAAAAAAUAUAUACAGUGGUACCUCGGUUUACAUACGCUUCAGGUUACAUACGCUUCAGGUUACAGACUCCGCUAACCCAGAAAUAGUACCUCGGGUUAAUAACUUUGCUUCAGGAUGAGAACAGAAAUCGUGUGGUGGCGGCACGGCAGCAGCAGGAGGCCCCAUUAGCUAAAGUGGUGCUUCAGGUUAAGAACAGUUUCAGCUUAAGAACGGACCUCUGGAACGAAUGAAGUACAUAACCAGAAGUACCACUGUAAUGCUUCAGACAUGGAAUCCCUGUCCUUUAGAAUAUAAGAAUCCACUCAGAAAAAUGAUUUUUAAUUUGCAGACUAGUCUCUAUUAGAUGGGCUCUUUAACAUAAAAAGAUAAUCUCAAACAUUUUUAACCAUUUGCUUCUUACAUUUCUUGCUACGUGGAAAGAAACAAAGCAAAACAUUUUAACCCUCCCCUUUCAGCCAACCUCAGAUUUUUCCAAAUUUGUCCUAUGAUGAAUUGUGGCAUGGAUGAUUGGAUGUUACACUCCAUUACAGUGUGACAGUGGACUGCGUUGCCUGGUGUACCAUGCUGGGA